This is a non-coding RNA of Myotis brandtii (Brandt's bat), 75 nucleotides long. The record is from Rfam. NCBI's taxonomy places the organism in Eukaryota, Metazoa, Chordata, Mammalia, Chiroptera, Vespertilionidae.
GGUGGUUCUCGGGUGACGCACCCUGGAAUCGGGCUCCCUCUUCUCUGGUUCCGGGUGCAUCACCUGAGAACCUCA